CUCGGUCGAGGGAAAUGUGGCGUUCAGGAGUGAGCGUGCCGGGAGGGAGAAGGCGGCAAGUCCCCCUGACCGGGGCCUGUCCGUAGCGGGUGCGAGACCCAUAGCCGCCUCUUCCCGACCGGAUGCGAUCUCCUUGGAGUCGGGUUGCUUGGGAGUGCAGCCCCAAUCGGGUGGUAAACUCCACCUAAGGCUAAAUACCGCCGUGAGACCGAUAGCAAACAAGUACCGUGAGGGAAAGUUGCAAAGAACUUUGAAGAGAGAGUUCAAGAGUACGUGAAACUGCUCAGAGGUAAACGGGUGGGCCCUCGAAAUCCUGUGGCGAGAGGAUUCAGUGCGGAGACGAAGUCUCGCUCCCCGGGUGCGGUGUCCCCGUCGCGGGGACCCCCCGAGCGGAGUCGCUCGGACUCGGACCGUACGCAUUUGACUCUCGCCCCGAGGACGCUGCAGCCGGUUCGGCAGUGCAAACGUGACGGCCUGAAGGGUCGGAGAUGGCAGGUGGCCGGUGGUCGGAGUCCUUCCUUCUGCCGGUUGUUAGCCGUCCGACCAGUGGCUCGUCGCCGGACCGUGGUCGUGGGGCGCCUCCACGGCGCCCUCUCGUCUCCUCCUCUUAAAGGCAUGGCGGGACGGAUCGCGGCAAGGGUUCCUGAGCCGGAGUGUCGCAGUGCCCUGUUACUGGGCUCGCUCGGCUCGGAGCCCCGUUCGCCGCGGCGGGGCCCGCUGGGGACCGGAGGCUCGCAGCGAGUAGGUCGGUCACCCACCCGACCCGUCUUGAAACACGGACCAAGGAGUCUAACAUGUGCGCGAGUCAGUGGGUCUUGAACAGGCCCACGGGCGCAAUGAAAGCGAAGACGUCGCCCGGUGCGCGUCGAGUCGGGAUCCCUCCUCGUCUGUGGGGGGGGCGCACCGACGACCCGCCCCGUCCGGUUCGCCGGUGGGGCGGAGUUUGAGCGUACACGUUGGGACCCGAAAGAUGGUGAACUAUGCCCGGACAGGACGACGUCAGAGGAAA
This 1009-nucleotide ribosomal RNA is filed under the name Papuamyr omhifosga. Its description in RNAcentral is "partial 28S ribosomal RNA". It matches the Rfam family "Eukaryotic large subunit ribosomal RNA", at positions 124 to 861 of the family's 3401-position model. Lineage: Eukaryota; Metazoa; Arthropoda; Arachnida; Araneae; Salticidae. The record is from RNAcentral.